CCUACGGGAGGCAGCAGUGGGGAAUAUUGCACAAUGGGGGAAACCCUGAUGCAGCGACGCCGCGUGAGCGAAGAAGUAUUUCGGUAUGUAAAGCCCUAUCAGCAGGGAAGCAAAUGACGGUACCUGAGUAAGAAGCUCCGUAUAAAUACGUGCCAGCAGCCGCGGUACUACGUAUGGAGCAAGCGUUAUCCGGAUUUACCGGGCGUAAAGGGAGCGUAGGCGGCCUGCCAAGUCUGAUGUGAAAUACCGGGGCGCAACCCCGGGGCUGCAUUGGAAACUGGCAGGCUGGAGUGACGGAGAGGCAGGCGGAAUUCCUAGUGUAGCGGUGAAAUGCGUAGAUAUUAGGAGGAACACCAGUGGCGAAGGCGGCGUGCUGGACGGUGACUGACGCUGAGGCUCGAAAGCGUGGGGAGCAAACAGGAUUAGAUACCCUAGUAGUC
This 440-nucleotide ribosomal RNA is filed under the name uncultured bacterium. RNAcentral's name for it is "partial 16S ribosomal RNA". It matches the Rfam family "Bacterial small subunit ribosomal RNA", at positions 338 to 795 of the family's 1533-position model. The record is from RNAcentral.